UACGUAGGGUCCGAGCGUUAAUCGGAAUUACUGGGCGUAAAGCGUGCGCAGGCGGUUUUGUAAGCCAGAUGUGAAAGCCCCGGGCUCAACCUGGGAACUGCAUCCGAUACUGGAUGGCUUGAAUUCGGGAGAGGGAUGCAGAAUUCCAGGUGUAGCGGUGAAAUGCGUAGAUAUCUGGAGGAAUACCGGUGGCGAAGGCGGCAUCCUGGACCGAGAUUGACGCUGAUGAGCGAAAGCUAGGGGAGCAAACGGG
This 253-nucleotide ribosomal RNA is filed under the name uncultured bacterium. RNAcentral's name for it is "partial 16S ribosomal RNA". It matches the Rfam family "Bacterial small subunit ribosomal RNA", at positions 524 to 776 of the family's 1533-position model. The record is from RNAcentral.